Molecule: ribosomal RNA, 253 nt
Filed under: uncultured bacterium
Lineage: Bacteria
Description: partial 16S ribosomal RNA
Rfam family: Bacterial small subunit ribosomal RNA
Source: RNAcentral
UACGGAGGUGGCAAACGUUGCUCGGAAUCACUGGGCUUAAAGGGCGUGUAGGCGGCCGUCUAAGUCGAAUGUGAAAUCCCUCGGCCCAACCGAGGAACUGCAUCCGAAACUGGGCGGCUAGAGUGCGGGAGGGGCAAGUGGAACUCCAGGUGUAGCGGUGAAAUGCGUAGAUAUCUGGAGGAACGCCGGUGGCGAAAGCGACUUGCUGGACCGCAACUGACGCUGAGGCGCGAAAGCCAGGGGAGCGAACGGG